GCUGGCGGCAGGCCUAACACAUGCAAGUCGAGCGAGAAAGGUCUUCGGACUGAGUACAGCGGCGGACGGGUGAGUAACGCGUAGGAAUCUACCCGGUAGUGGGGGACAACAUGGGGAAACCCAUGCUAAUACCGCAUACGCCCUAUGGGGGAAAGCGGGGGACCUUCGGGCCUCGCGCUAUCGGAAGAGCCUGCGUUGGAUUAGCUUGUUGGUGAGGUAAAGGCUCACCAAGGCGACGAUCCAUAGCUGGUCUGAGAGGAUGAUCAGCCACACUGGGACUGAGACACGGCCCAGACUCCUACGGGAGGCAGCAGUGGGGAAUAUUGCGCAAUGGGGGCAACCCUGACGCAGCCAUGCCGCAUGUGUGAAGAAGGCCUUCGGGUUGUAAAGCACUUUCAAUUGGGAAGAAAGGUUGCCGGUUAAUACCCGGUAGCUGUGACAUUACCUUUAGAAGAAGCACCGGCUAACUCCGUGCCAGCAGCCGCGGUAAUACGGAGGGUGCGAGCGUUAAUCGGAAUUACUGGGCGUAAAGCGCGCGUAGGCGGUUUGUUAAGUUGGAUGUGAAAGCCCCGGGCUCAACCUG
RNAcentral lists this ribosomal RNA (583 nucleotides) under uncultured Gammaproteobacteria bacterium. RNAcentral's name for it is "bacterial SSU rRNA". It matches the Rfam family "Bacterial small subunit ribosomal RNA", at positions 35 to 616 of the family's 1533-position model. The record is from RNAcentral. Lineage: Bacteria; Pseudomonadati; Pseudomonadota; Gammaproteobacteria.